AAAGAGAACAUCUAGAGAACACUGAAACUAGAAUCACCAAGCAAUUUGUCUUUACUGCAAACAAAUCACACCAGGAAUUGGAUAGUGAAAACUUGAAGUUAACCAACAAAGGAAACGAGGAACAAAUUUUAGCGUUUGACUCCAAGAAAAUGGGAUACAUCUUGUCAGAAGAAACGGACAAUAAGACCACCACAUGGCUAAAAGAAGACGGGACACUUCAAACGUCCAGGUUGGGAUAUGACAUUUGUUUCCCCUCAUCACCACCACCAGGAACAACCCCUGGACUCCCAAAGAGGAACCAGGAUCCAGGAGGGCCAAGCCUCGCUUCUGAGACCCUGAAGCCACCCACAACGUUGAGGAGUCUAAAUGUGUCAAGCAAUUACACCCGAGGAAAAGAAGCCAUGACGGCGAAACCGAAGGCUCUCGAGGCCCUUUUGUGACAUCUCGCAACUCUCUAGGAACUAGAGCCAACUUAUAGGAGUGGGUCGAGCAAACUUCAUGGUGAAAUGCUUUAAAAAGGGUAAGGAAAUCAAGAAACAUCAACAUAAACCUUCAGCGCUUGCCCGCAACCUUGGGGAGGACAUGCGUUAGGGCACUGAGAAAUGUGUGCUCCAUGUCCUAAUCUGAUGACAAAUUUUCAGGUGCUGCCAGAGCUGCCUGGCUACCAUCAUAUCUCAAUAUAGCAUUUUUCUCCCUUGUCAGCAGGUGGGUGGCAACAAGAGUGACUUGUGGAACAAUGCCCAGUUCCACAUCUACAGGGCUGAAAUCACCACCCCACAUGCAGAACUUCAGAGAGGCCGAUUAAAAGUCUGGAACCUCUCAAACACCGACUUCUUUCGGCCUCUGUUCAGAGUUCACUCUCAGGAUACAAAGUCACAAUACCCCAGCUUGCUUACGAUUCCGAGAAGGAGAGCGGAGCUGUCGCCUCUCAAUUUUUCCAGAGGCAACAGUCACCUAAGCAAGUACGAUACCCGUUUCCUUCGGAGAGCUCAAUGACGGUCAGGUGCUAUUUUCUUUCUUAACACUCAACUCUUAGAAGGAGUCCAAGGGCUAUUUUACAGACAAGAAAACGGGAGAAAUCUAAGCCCCAGAUGGCGAGGCGUCUUACUUAAUAAAAGGUAGUCAGUUGCAAAGUCAGUAAGAGAACC
Ornithorhynchus anatinus (platypus) is the source of this 1148-nucleotide long non-coding RNA. RefSeq lists it as uncharacterized. Lineage: Eukaryota; Metazoa; Chordata; Mammalia; Monotremata; Ornithorhynchidae. The transcript has 3 exons. The record is from RefSeq and is a predicted model, not a curated record.